Molecule: ribosomal RNA, 1304 nt
Filed under: metagenome
Description: bacterial LSU rRNA
Rfam family: Bacterial large subunit ribosomal RNA
Source: RNAcentral
GCCGUUAAGACAUAACUGCCCGUACUGCAAACCGACACAGGUGGACAGGGUGAGAAACCUAAGACGGACAGGCUAACUCUCGCUAAGGAACUCUGCAAAAUGGCCCCGUAACUUCGGGAGAAGGGGUGCCUUUGAUGGUGAUGGUUCACGCAACCUAAGCUGUCGGAGGCCGCAGUGAAAAGACUCAAGCGACUGUUUAACAAAAACACAGGUCUAUGCUAAGCUGAAAGGCGAUGUAUAUGGGCUGACACCUGCCCAGUGCCGGAAGGUUAAGAGGAGGAGUGAGAGCUCCGAAUUGAAGCCCCGGUGAACGGCGGCCGUAACAAUAACGGUCCUAAGGUAGCGAAAUUCCUUGUCGGGUAAGUUCCGACCUGCACGAAUGGUGUAACGAUUUGAGUGCUGUCUUGGCGGGAGGCCUGGUGAAGUUGUAUUAUGGGUGAAGAUACCCAUUACCUGCAGCAGGACGGAAAGACCCCAUGGAGCUUUACUGUAGCUUGGUAUUGGGUCUUGAUGCUGUGUGUAUAGGAUAGUUGGGAGACUUUGAUUGUAGGCCGCCAGGUUUACAUGAGUCGUUGGUGGAAUACCAACCACGCAGUAUUGGGAUUCUAAUCUGGUGUGUGUAACACUGGAGACAGUGCUAGGUGGGCAGUUUGACUGGGGCGGUCGCCUCCGAAAGAGUAACGGAGGCGCUCGAAGGUUCCCUCAGGUUGGAUGGAAAUCAACCGCAGAGUGCAAAGGCAUAAGGGAGCUUGACUGCAAGACUGACAAGUCGAGCAGGUGCGAAAGCAGGACUUAGUGAUCCGGCGAUUCCGAAUGGAAGGGUCGUCGCUCAACGGAUAAAAGCUACCCUGGGGAUAACAGGCUGAUUCUGCCCGAGAGUCCAUAUCGACGGCAGAGUUUGGCACCUCGAUGUCGGCUCAUCUUAUCCUGGGGCUGGAGAAGGUCCCAAGGGUUGGGCUGUUCGCCCAUUAAAAAGGUACGUGAGCUGGGUUCAGAACGUCGUGAGACAGUUCGGUCCCUAUCCGCUGCAGGCGCUAGAGUAUUGCGAAGAUCUGCCCUUAGUACGAGAGGACCGGGGUGGACAAACCUCUGAUGUAUCAGUUGUCACGCCAGUGGCAUAGCUGGGUAGUCACGUUUGGAAUGGAUAACCGCUGAAAGCAUCUAAGUGGGAAACCAACUUCAAGAUAAGUACUCUUUAACUUUAAGUUAAUAAGUCACCUUCGAGACUAGGAGGUUGAUAGGCUGGGGGUGUAAGGAUUGUAAAAUCUUUAGCUGACCAGUACUAAUUAGACGAAUGCUUAUGC